UACGGGGGGGGCAAGCGUUGUUCGGAAUUACUGGGCGUAAAGGGCUCGUAGGCGGCCCACUAAGUCAGACGUGAAAUCCCUCGGCUUAACCGGGGAACUGCGUCUGAUACUGGAGGGCUUGAGUUUGGGAGAGGGAUGCGGAAUUCCAGGUGUAGCGGUGAAAUGCGUAGAUAUCUGGAGGAACACCGGUGGCGAAGGCGGCAUCCUGGACCAACACUGACGCUGAGGAGCGAAGGCCAGGGGAGCAAACGGG
RNAcentral lists this ribosomal RNA (253 nucleotides) under uncultured bacterium. Its description in RNAcentral is "partial 16S ribosomal RNA". It matches the Rfam family "Bacterial small subunit ribosomal RNA", at positions 524 to 776 of the family's 1533-position model. The record is from RNAcentral.